AGGGCUGAGGGAUUGGUGCUGCCAUCCAAAGCUGAGGGAGUGGAGUCACCACCAGGAUUCUAGAGUCCAUGGCCCCUGCUGAAAACUGAGAGGAUGGGGCUGCCAUCCAAGCCUGAGGGGGUGAGGUCACCACCAGAGUACCAGAGGAUAGAGCCGCGGCACAGUCCUGAGGGAUUUACAGCUGGAGGGGAAUUUUACCUCAGGAUGGACCAUGGCCCAAACUUUACCCAUCCCUGAAUUAGAUGAGAUUUUGAACAUAACGUUGAUGCUGGAAUGCGUUAAGACUUUUCCGGCAGCCAGGAGAAGACCAAGACAAACCAGAAGAAUUCCAUCUGACAAUGAAGGCAGAGAUUGGGGUUAUGCAAUUGCAAGCCAAGGAAUACCAAAGAUUGCUGGCAAACCACCAGAAACUAGGAAGAGGCAAAGAAGGACUCCCCUACAGGUUUCAGAGAAAAAGCAAGGUUCUGCCCACUCUUGUUUAAGACAUCUAGCCUCCAAGACAGUGAGACAGUACAUUUCUGUUGUUUUAAGCUACCCAGUUUGCGGUACUUUGUCAUGGCAGCCCUGGGUAACUAGCACAGACUCUGACAUCCUAUGCUGUCCCAUACAUUGAUAGCCCCCUCACUCUACUCAUGCUCUGAAUCCCAUGCCAGACCAUCUUUGAUGUAAACACCUUCAUUGAUCUGCUUGGGCUCUGACAUCCCUCACUUAGCUCCCCUUAAACAUGGAUGGCUUCCUUUCUCCUCCUGGCUUCUGAUUCUUUACACCAAACCAACCCCCACAAGGAACAACUUUUUCACUUUCUUCAGGCUCUGCCUCCACUUCAGGCUGCCUUCAUCUGUGGUUCCCCUCCUUACCCCAGUUAAGCACCAACAUCUAGAGCUACACCUCUAUUUGGACACCUAUCUUGCUCCAACCCACCUCUUGAAUUGUUCUAGAAGUAAUGAGAAGGGAAAGAAAAGAACAGGAAACAGGAAGGGAUAAAAGAAGAGCCAGACUUGGUUUUAAGAAAUACAAUAUGAAAGAUGAAGUGAAAGCGUCCUUCAUAUCCCUUCAUAAUUUCAUUUGCCUCCCUUUCUCCCUAGAGGUACUACUAUACUGUAUUUAUUUUCCUCUUUUUCAUGCAGGAUUUUAUGCUACUACUACAUAAAUAAUUAUCCAUUAACAUG
Molecule: long non-coding RNA, 1169 nt
Organism: Pan troglodytes (chimpanzee)
Lineage: Eukaryota; Metazoa; Chordata; Mammalia; Primates; Hominidae
Exons: 3
Source: RefSeq, a predicted model, not a curated record